AGUCGAACGGCAGCACGGGCUUCGGCCUGGUGGCGAGUGGCGAACGGGUGAGUAAUACAUCGGAACGUGCCCUGUAGUGGGGGAUAACUAGUCGAAAGAUUAGCUAAUACCGCAUACGACCUGAGGGUGAAAGCGGGGGACCGCAAGGCCUCGCGCUACAGGAGCGGCCGAUGUCUGAUUAGCUAGUUGGUGGGGUAAAAGCCUACCAAGGCGACGAUCAGUAGCUGGUCUGAGAGGACGAUCAGCCACACUGGGACUGAGACACGGCCCAGACUCCUACGGGAGGCAGCAGUGGGGAAUUUUGGACAAUGGGGGCAACCCUGAUCCAGCAAUGCCGCGUGUGUGAAGAAGGCCUUCGGGUUGUAAAGCACUUUUGUCCGGAAAGAAAUGGCUCUGGUUAAUACCCGGGGUCGAUGACGGUACCGGAAGAAUAAGCACCGGCUAACUACGUGCCAGCAGCCGCGGUAAUACGUAGGGUGCGAGCGUUAAUCGGAAUUACUGGGCGUAAAGCGUGCGCAGGCGGUUUUGUAAGACAGGCGUGAAAUCCCCGAGCUCA
RNAcentral lists this ribosomal RNA (556 nucleotides) under uncultured soil bacterium. RNAcentral describes it as "bacterial SSU rRNA". It matches the Rfam family "Bacterial small subunit ribosomal RNA", at positions 60 to 611 of the family's 1533-position model. The record is from RNAcentral.